AGCUACGGAGGUUGGCGGGGAGGUUUGAAAUUGCAAACGCGCUGGGACGCUGCGCUGAUUAGGAGCCCUCGCGCGUGCACGGGGGGAAGGGCUACGAGUGACUGCCAAGAGGGGGUGGGUCCCCAUGUUACUAAAAGCAAACGUUAGCUGCAAGCAAGGAUGAAAUUGAAGAACAAUUUGAAGUGAAAUGUAAUCCUGCUGAGAAUGGUAAAACCACUAUAGAGAAUAUGAAGUAGGAAGUACCAUGCAGAAAAGCUACACAGACCAUUACUGUUGAAACAAAAUUGAUCUUACAUUACCACUGAGUUCAUUAAAUAAUGUUGAUUUCAGUAGAACAACGAUUGUACAUGUGACAUUGAUAACAGUACAUCAUGAAUUCAUUAUGAACAGGGCUACUCCAAUAAAUACCAGCUGAAUUCA
Molecule: long non-coding RNA, 420 nt
Organism: Mauremys reevesii (Reeves's turtle)
Lineage: Eukaryota; Metazoa; Chordata; Testudines; Geoemydidae
Exons: 3
Source: RefSeq, a predicted model, not a curated record